RNAcentral lists this ribosomal RNA (276 nucleotides) under uncultured bacterium. Its description in RNAcentral is "partial 16S ribosomal RNA". It matches the Rfam family "Bacterial small subunit ribosomal RNA", at positions 76 to 354 of the family's 1533-position model. The record is from RNAcentral.
CAAACUUUUGGAUGGCGACCGGCGCACGGGUGAGUAACACGUAUCCAACCUGCCUCAUACUCGGGGAUAGCCUUUCGAAAGAAAGAUUAAUACCCGAUGUUAUAGUCCUACCGCAUGAUGGGAUUAUUAAAGAAUUUCGGUAUGGGAUGGGGAUGCGUUCCAUUAGUUAGUUGGCGGGGUAACGGCCCACCAAGACAACGAUGGAUAGGGGUUCUGAGAGGAAGGUCCCCCACAUUGGAACUGAGACACGGUCCAAACUCCUACGGAAGGCAGCAG